RNAcentral lists this long non-coding RNA (1680 nucleotides) under Capra hircus (goat). RNAcentral describes it as "lncRNA (ENSCHIG00010020068.1)". Lineage: Eukaryota; Metazoa; Chordata; Mammalia; Artiodactyla; Bovidae. The record is from RNAcentral.
GGUCUCACAGAGUCGGACAUGACUGAAGCAACUUGGCAGCAGCAGCAGCACAAAUUAACAAGUACAAAACUCUUUUCACCUCUCAGGUCUCCCCUGAAAUAAUGCUUCUCCACAGUUAGUUGGGAUUCCAGACAACUUUUGAUUGCUUUUAGUGUAUUUAUAAACUAAUCCACCGAGACAUAUCAUUGUAUAAUUGAUAAGUUGACUCACGCUAUAAUGCUAUUCUAUGACUUUUUUUUUUCAUAUAAGGGUAUGUCUUGGGAGACCUUUCCAAAUUAGGAUGUAUAGCUCUAGCUCAUUCUCUGCAGUGAAGGAGACAGCACGCUGAGGACAGUCCUAAAGGAUUGCUCUCUUAUCCUGCUCUGUCCCGCCAAGGCAGCCUCCCAGAGAAAAACUUCAGUGGAAACUUGCCACCUUGCCCUGACCUGGGCAGGAGAGAACGCUGGGGGACUACAGCUGAUCGUGUCCCUCCUGGAUGACGGGCUCGGGCGUGCCGGGGCGCGAGGGAGACGGGAGCUGAGCCCAGGGCGCGCAGGGACCGCUGAGCGCCCGGCGUCUGUCGUCUGUUAGCAGAAGUGCGUCUGGCUGUGACCUCAGCGGCUCCACCGAGGCUGGAAGCCUCCAGCACGGGUGGGAGCCGGUCCACUUGCCCGCCCCUCGCCUGGGUCAGCAGAGGCUUCUCCUGAGAGACCGACGGCCCCACCAGCUCGGGUGGAAGUGGGGCGAGCCCCAGAGACGGCUUACCCCACUUAGAAGAUCCGCCCGCGGGCCCUUAGUGGGUGAAAUGAAACCUAAGAACUCAGAGGAUACUUGGAGUGGAAGUGGGUCUUUGAAUGUCUCCCUCCAGAGCGGAUGCUGCAGGUGGGUCCGUGGCUCCAGGGCAGUGCAGAGAGUCCCAGUGGUUUAGUUCCCAAGUGAGCUCACAAUUGUUGUGUAGCCUCCAAACCACUUCCAUAGCAAUCUUGCUUGCCCUCGUUCAUCCUGUUUUUAAGCAGUUGCCUCUAGUGAUUAAAAAAGAAAAAUAUUGCAAGAGCAAAUUGGAAAAUACAUGCUACGUCAAAAGCUGUUUUGAGAAAUUUCCAGGUAAACAUGAAUCAAAAGAAAUCCCUAAGGAACCAAAUAAGAAAUCUCCCAAAGCAAGAUGUUCCGUGUCCAAUUAUUAUUGUGGGAUCUACAGUAAUAAAUUCCUCUAAUAACGGGUUCUCCAAAGCCCUGGCAAGUUAAUAACAUUGCAGUAUAAUGCCGUGUGUUCUUAGAAGGUAUUUUACACAAGAACAACAUGCAGGUUUCUUUCUCUCCCUUGGCAUUCUGCAGUCUCUUUUAUUAUAUUUGUCACUUGGUUUAAAAACUAAAUUUAGAAAUGAAAAUUCAACACCUGCUUCAGCCUAGUUCUUGACAAUUAGCUCUGUUCCGUCGCUUGGAACUUCUGCAGGGAUAGCAGAAUCCCUUUGCAGUCCUGUGUUUUAUUUCCUCAAACUGAUGCCUCCUAGUGGCAACACCAAAGCCCAGAUGUUGACAUGACCUUUAACCUUUCACCUGGCAAAGUUAGGGUUUUUUUUUAAUCAAUAGAACUGAAAAAUUCAUCCAACUACUUUACUGUCUAUCUUUUAGGCUAUACUAUGUAUCCUUAUUUCGGAGAGGGCAAUGGCACCCCACUCCAGUACUCUUGCCUGGAAAAUC